This 71-nucleotide transfer RNA is filed under the name Phycisphaerae bacterium. Its description in RNAcentral is "tRNA-Gln". It matches the Rfam family "tRNA". From Rfam's summary of the family: Transfer RNA (tRNA) molecules are approximately 80 nucleotides in length. RNAcentral also lists the same sequence under 4 other names. Lineage: Bacteria; Pseudomonadati; Planctomycetota; Phycisphaerae. The record is from RNAcentral.
UGGGGAAUAGUGUAAUGGUAGCACGACUGACUCUGGAUCAGUUAGUCGGGGUUCGAGUCCCUGUUCCCCAG